UAAUUACUCCCUCCCUUCCAAAUUAGUUGACUCUGAUUUGUCUAGAUACGGAUAUAUCUAGACAUGUUUUAGUGUUAGAUACAUCCGUAUCUAGAUAAGUCCAAGUCAACUAAUUUGGAACGGAGGGAGUAUGUA
Non-coding RNA from Triticum aestivum (bread wheat), 135 nucleotides. The record is from Rfam. NCBI's taxonomy places the organism in Eukaryota, Viridiplantae, Streptophyta, Magnoliopsida, Poales, Poaceae.